RNAcentral lists this ribosomal RNA (460 nucleotides) under uncultured bacterium. RNAcentral describes it as "partial 16S ribosomal RNA". It matches the Rfam family "Bacterial small subunit ribosomal RNA", at positions 338 to 795 of the family's 1533-position model. The record is from RNAcentral.
CCUACGGGAGGCAGCAGUGAGGAAUAUUGGUCAAUGGGCGUAAGCCUGAACCAGCCAAGUCGCGUGAGGGAUGAAGGUUCUAUGGAUUGUACACCUCUUUUAUAAGGGAAUAAAGUGUGGGACGUGUCCUAUUUUGUAUGUACCUUAUGAAUAAGGAUCGGCUAACUCCGUGCCAGCAGCCGCGGUAAUACGGAGGAUCCGAGCGUUAUCCGGAUUUAUUGGGUUUAAAGGGUGCGUAGGCGGCCUUUUAAGGCAGGUGUGAAAGUCUGUGGCUCAACCAUAGAAUUGCCGUUGAAACUGGGAGUCUUGAGUAUAGUAGAGGCAGGCGGAAUGCGUGGUGUAGCGGUGAAAUGCUUAGAUAUCACGCAGAACCCCGAUUGCGAAGGCAGCCUACCAAGCCAUGACUGACGCUGAUGCACGAAAGCGUGGGGAUCAAACAGGAUUAGAGACCCUGGUAGUC